UGGACUGUGGUCUUGGAUGUAAAUGUGCCAAAACGUAUCCAAUUGUACACUUUCGAUAGUGCACAUUAUCGGUUCCGUUAUGCUUCAGCAAAGGCGCUGUUUUAAAAGACAACCCAGGUUGACGUGCUGGAAGGACAGAGGAGAGCCCUCCACAGAGCGGUCGGGUCAGGACACGGCCGAGGGGACAGGCCUGCGGCACACGGACGCCGCAUCAGUGUUUGUUGAAGCACAGGGCUGGCCUCCUUCCUGCAUCUGUUCUGGAACCACUGUUUGGCCAGACCGGGACCCACUUACUCCUUCCUCUUCGAGGGACACCGGGGGUGCUACCUGUGACUCUCAGCCACAGACAGCGUACGGGGGGCGGCCCCACGCACAUCCUUCUGAGAGCGAAGAAGAAAAUCGUAACAGCCAGUUUUCGCACAACGCAGAGGCCAGCACGCUCCCACGGUGCACCUUGACGGCACCACCCCCGUCUUAGUCUGGCCCUGAAGAGGACACUGCCCGGCCGGGCGGCCGGCCGGCCGAACUUGGGCAAGUACCCUGCAUGCCCUGGUAAGACCCGUGGUGACCACAGGGUGGGAAAGGCCAGGAGCUUCCAGGAAAACCUUCGGGAUCCGACGGUCUAGGAGAUGCCGGCACGUCCUGUCUGAACUAAGGGAAUUCGCCGCGCCCGACAGCACCCGCUUCUGCGAGGCCCAGUGCUCGGUGACACUCUAGACUGGGGGUGCGGCACGCACCAGCACACGCAGUCUU
This is a long non-coding RNA of Prionailurus viverrinus (fishing cat), 753 nucleotides long. RefSeq lists it as uncharacterized. The transcript is spliced from 3 exons. The record is from RefSeq and is a predicted model, not a curated record. Lineage: Eukaryota; Metazoa; Chordata; Mammalia; Carnivora; Felidae.